This 253-nucleotide ribosomal RNA is filed under the name uncultured bacterium. Its description in RNAcentral is "partial 16S ribosomal RNA". It matches the Rfam family "Bacterial small subunit ribosomal RNA", at positions 524 to 776 of the family's 1533-position model. The record is from RNAcentral.
UACGUAGGGUGCGAGCGUUAAUCGGAAUUACUGGGCGUAAAGCGCGCGCAGGCGGACUGAUCAGUCUGGGGUGAAAUCUCACGGCUCAACUGUGAGCGGUCCCUGGAUACUGUCAGUCUUGAGAUGUCUAGAGGAGAGCGGAAUUCCCGGUGUAGUGGUGGAAUGCGUAGAUAUCGGGAAGAACACCAGUGGCGAAAGCGGCUCUCUGGGGACCAUCUGACGCUGAGGCGCGAAAGCGUGGGGAGCGAACCGG